GCUACGGGAGGCAGCAGUGAGGAAUAUUGGUCAAUGGGCGCGAGCCUGAACCAGCCAAGUAGCGUGAAGGAUGACUGCCCUACGGGUUGUAAACUUCUUUUAUAAAGGAAUAAAGUGAGGCACGUGUGCCUUUUUGUAUGUACUUUAUGAAUAAGGCUCGGCUAACUCCGUGCCAGCAGCCGCGGUAAUACGGAGGAUCCGAGCGUUAUCCGGAUUUAUUGGGUUUAAAGGGAGCGUAGAUGGGUUGUUAAGUCAGUUGUGGAAGUUUGCGGCUCAACCGGAAAAUUGCAAUUGAUACUGGCAGUCUUGAGUACAGUUGAGGUAGGCGGAAUUCGGGGUGUAGCGGUGAAAUGCGUAGAUAUCACGAAGAACUGCGAUUGCGAAGGCAGCUUACUAAACUGCCACUGACAUUGAUGCUCGAAAGUGUGGGUAUCAAACAGGAUUAGAUACCCUGGUAGUG
This 460-nucleotide ribosomal RNA is filed under the name uncultured bacterium. RNAcentral describes it as "partial 16S ribosomal RNA". It matches the Rfam family "Bacterial small subunit ribosomal RNA", at positions 338 to 795 of the family's 1533-position model. The record is from RNAcentral.